This 85-nucleotide transfer RNA is filed under the name Pseudomonadota bacterium. RNAcentral describes it as "tRNA-Leu". It matches the Rfam family "tRNA". From Rfam's summary of the family: Transfer RNA (tRNA) molecules are approximately 80 nucleotides in length. Their secondary structure includes four short double-helical elements and three loops (D, anti-codon, and T loops). The record is from RNAcentral. RNAcentral also lists the same sequence under 3 other names. Lineage: Bacteria; Pseudomonadati; Pseudomonadota.
GCCGAAGUGGCGGAAUCUGGCAGACGCGCUGGAUUCAGGAUCCAGUGGGCAUACGCCCGUGGGGGUUCAACUCCCCCCUUCGGCA